AGGGUGAUCGGCCACACUGGAACUGAGACACGGUCCAGACUCCUACGGGAGGCAGCAGUAGGGAAUCUUCCGCAAUGGGCGAAAGCCUGACGGAGCAACGCCGCGUGAGUGAUGAAGGUCUUCGGAUCGUAAAACUCUGUUAUUAGGGAAGAACAAAUGUGUAAGUAACUAUGCACGUCUUGACGGUACCUAAUCAGAAAGCCACGGCUAACUACGUGCCAGCAGCCGCGGUAAUACGUAGGUGGCAAGCGUUAUCCGGAAUUAUUGGGCGUAAAGCGCGCGUAGGCGGUUUUUUAAGUCUGAUGUGAAAGCCCACGGCUCAACCGUGGAGGUCAUUGGAACUGGAAACUUGAGUGCAGAAGAGGAAAGUGGAAUUCCAUGUGUAGCGGUGAAAUGCGCAGAGAUAUGGAGGAACACCAGUGGCGAAGGCGACUUUCUGGUCUGUAACUGACGCUGAUUGCGAAAGCGUGGGGAUCAAACAGGAUUAGAUACCCUGGUAGUCCACGCCGUAAACGAUGAGUGCUAAGUGUUAGGGGUUUUCCCCG
Molecule: ribosomal RNA, 545 nt
Filed under: uncultured bacterium
Lineage: Bacteria
Description: bacterial SSU rRNA
Rfam family: Bacterial small subunit ribosomal RNA
Source: RNAcentral